This 292-nucleotide ribosomal RNA is filed under the name uncultured Carnobacterium sp. RNAcentral's name for it is "partial 16S ribosomal RNA". It matches the Rfam family "Bacterial small subunit ribosomal RNA", at positions 505 to 796 of the family's 1533-position model. The record is from RNAcentral. Lineage: Bacteria; Bacillati; Bacillota; Bacilli; Lactobacillales; Carnobacteriaceae.
GUGCCAGCAGCCGCGGUAAUACGUAGGUGGCAAGCGUUGUCCGGAUUUAUUGGGCGUAAAGCGAGCGCAGGCGGUUCUUUAAGUCUGAUGUGAAAGCCCCCGGCUCAACCGGGGAGGGUCAUUGGAAACUGGAGAACUUGAGUGCAGAAGAGGAGAGUGGAAUUCCAUGUGUAGCGGUGAAAUGCGUAGAUAUAUGGAGGAACACCAGUGGCGAAGGCGACUCUCUGGUCUGUAACUGACGCUGAGGCUCGAAAGCGUGGGGAGCAAACAGGAUUAGAUACCCUUGUAGUCC